Molecule: RNA transcript, 5348 nt
Organism: Mus musculus (house mouse)
Lineage: Eukaryota; Metazoa; Chordata; Mammalia; Rodentia; Muridae
Gene: Tmprss3
Gene name: transmembrane protease, serine 3
Exons: 11
Source: RefSeq, marked validated
GGAAGGAAGGAAGGAAGGAAAGAAGGGAGGAAAGGGGAGGAGGGAGGAGAAAGCUCAUUCAUGUCCACCAGGAAAUGCUCUAGCUGAUUUAUUCCUUUCCUCAUACCUAAAAAAAAAGUUGUCUUCCCGGUGUGUCACAGGAAAAAACCCAUCCUGGUGGUUCAUCCACAAGGCUGGCAGGAGAGAACAGACUUCUAUGCAAAUUAUGCUGAGCAGGCAGAGACCCUUCUGACCCUCAUCUUGCAUCCUGUUGGCGCUCAGCGGUGUGUUUAUUCAAUGCCGUUUGAACACUUAUGUUCACAAUCAGCCCUUCCUGGUCCCGGCCACAGUGGGGGCCAUGACAGAACAUUCUAGAUGAUCGUCUAAGAGGCUCCAAUCCACAGAAAGAAAAGAGAGCUUCAGAGAUAAGUCUCCUGUUAUUGUCUCCAGAAAUGUUCAUCUUGGGACCAGGAGAGUCGUCAGAGAUAAGAGAGGACCUGCAAGCAUGGGGGAUUUCAGUGAAUCCAGACAUUAAAGGGUGGGGUAGGUGGAGACAGGCAGGAAAAUAGAGUCAUUUGGUGGGGGGGCUAGACAGCCCCCCCUGUCCCCGCACGCAUGCAUGCGCAGGCAAACACACACAUACCUCAGGUCUCACUACUCCUGGACUGGUCUCGAACCUGUUCUGUAGCCCAUUGGCCUCAAACUCAUGAUCCUCCUGCCUCAGCAUCUGGAGAAAGCACAUGGUGAAAGCACACCCCUUCAAACACCUCUCCAGCUGUUGUAAUCAGCACAGUGUAGCCACUGAGGCUCACUCCUGCUGCAGUCUGCUCAAACCCCGUGUGUCUAGCUCUCACCCAGAACCGAAACGUGUCUGCUCUGCUGAGCUCAUUCUGUCCCCGGUCCGUAUCAGACAGGAAGCAAACUGGAAUCCUUUCUGAUAUUGCAGAUUCUCUGAGCUGCACCUCAGAAUCCCUGGCCGCCUCUGGCUCCAGGCACAGGGAUUUCCUAGGGGCACCCUCUCUCCUGGCUUUGAAGUCAUGGUCGCCUAUGACGAACUACCUAAUCCUUAUUUCACAGGACUAAUGCUGUCCUGUCUUGAGGUCUCUGCUUCCCAGAGGUCAUACUCUACACCAUCAUCUUCAUCUCCUCCAGCACUCUGUAUGGCCCAAGGCCACAUAGUCGAACACAGAUGCACUGAGCACAUAGAGACUCCUGCACCAUAAACCUCCAAGUUUCUGCUCAGUGCCUGACAUCCUCUGGUCUCCAACUUUUGUCCUUGGGGCAGCUGUAGGACUCAAUCAAGGCUCAGUCACCUGUGCUGAUGUGGCCUUUUGUGGGACUGUCUGCUUGGCACUGGGUAUGGCCCCGCUGUUCACAUUUGAACAAAACGUGUGUCCUCGGGCCCUACAUUCUUCCGUGACGCUCCUAUAAUUCUGCCUUUGCUCAUUUACAAGCUGCUCUCUCCUAUCUCUGCGCCCAUACUACCAGGGCUACCUGAUAGCCACCUUCAGAUUGAGUUACAGAGGCGCCACGGUGAUGCCGCUGGCUUCAGUGACGGAGUCUGCAAGGCUGAGUGGCUUGGUAGAAAUAGUUCUCUACUGGACUCCCCUUUGCCAGCUGCUCACCCUCCUGCUCGUUUUUUAUAAUGAAAACGGAAAUUAUUCCUGCUUCCAAGGAUGGCCGCUUCAGAAAUGGUAAGUAAGGGACCCGGGGGCAGGGGGCGCUUCCAGGAUGCACUCUGAGGAACUUCCCGGCUUCCCCAUAUGGGACCUGCCAACCAUGGCCUGCUUUCGAGGGGAUACUCCCCCAAGGCAUAUUUUCCAGAAGCUUAGACUUUACUAAUAUUGUAAAAAUUAAAAACAACAAAAACAAAAACAAGGUAAGUUUUUAAUGGUGAGUAGCUCCAUUUGGAAUGUAAAUAACCCUAACAGGUAGCUAGGAAGGAGGCAGGCAUAGACAGCCUCUGCGGGGAGGGCUCCGUGGACCUCAACCUUGGCGGAAGCAGAUUCCUCCAACACCUUGUUGUGGACUGAUCUGGGGCUCACCCGGGAGCACCCUACAUCUCUGGCUCGCCCAGACCUGUCCAGAAGGUCUCUAUUGUAGGAAACAGAACCCUGUGUGGGUUUGGCCCGAGGCGGAGGGUUUGGCCCGAGGCGGAGGGUUUGGCCUGAGGUGGAGGCUCCCAGCCACUCUUCACUUGGCUGGGUGGCCUGGGUCCCCAGGGCUCGGAUACUUUCUUUCUCAAUUAGGUCAUGCUUGCAUGAGCCAGGAAAGGGCUGUAUUUGUGGGCCGCUACUAACAUCGUGACAGUGCCCAUUCCCGGGUGCUGCCUUCCUUUCGGGACACAUAAAUUGAGUAUCAGAAGAUCUUAGGUCUAUGACAGGUAAAUCCUAUGGCUAGAAAGAAGAAUCAAAAUGUUGGACAAAGGAGAACCGUCUCAUCGUGAUGAUCACAGUUUUUUCUAAGGAACAACACAACGGUGACUUCUGGGUGACAAAUGGGGCUUAUCUCUAAAAGCGCCACUUGAUUGGCUACACAGAAGACACUGGCACUGUUAACUUGAAAGGAAUUAAAAUUCUGAGUUUUGUCAGCUCUAGAAGCCACUCUGCGAUUUUCUGUGGUCUCGAGAAAGUUGUGUUCUCAGUAGACAGAUAUUUGCGACAAACCCACAGGGGGUGUGGGCUUCGUGUGGGACUGAAAGGAUUUAAAAUGGGACAGAGGCACCCCUAGUGCCCACACUUUCCACAGGGACCAACCCUGCUCACCCCUGACUAAGCAGGUGGAGGUGGAGCCGGAACCCAACAUCAGAGGCCCUGAGAUAGUCACCAUGGGGGAGAAUGACCCUCCGGCAGCCGAAGCUCCCUUCUCCUUCCGGUCUCUCUUCGGCUUGGAUGAUUUGAAAAUAAGUCCUGUGGCACCAGAUGGAGACGCAGUGGCUGCGCAGAUCUUGUCCCUUCUGCCCUUGAAGUUUUUUCCGAUCAUCGUCAUUGGGAUCAUCGCCUUGAUACUGGCGCUGGCCAUCGGUCUGGGCAUCCACUUCGACUGCUCUGGGAAGUACAGGUGCCAUUCAUCUUUCAAGUGUAUUGAACUAACAGCUCGAUGCGACGGGGUCUCCGACUGCAAGAACGCAGAGGAUGAGUACCGAUGCGUGCGGGUGAGCGGCCAAAGAGCGGCGCUCCAAGUGUUCACAGCUGCUGCGUGGAGGACCAUGUGCUCCGAUGACUGGAAAAGCCACUAUGCCAAGAUUGCCUGUGCCCAGCUGGGGUUUCCCAGCUAUGUGAGCUCAGACCACCUAAGAGUGGAUGCGCUGGAGGAGCAGUUCCAGGGCGACUUCGUGUCCAUCAAUCACCUCUUGUCAGAUGACAAGGUGACGGCGUUACACCACUCUGUGUACAUGAGGGAAGGCUGCACCUCAGGCCACGUGGUCACCUUGAAGUGCUCAGCCUGUGGCACGAGAACGGGCUACAGUCCCCGAAUUGUGGGUGGAAACAUGUCCUCGCUCACUCAGUGGCCCUGGCAGGUCAGCCUCCAGUUCCAGGGGUACCACCUAUGUGGGGGCUCCAUCAUCACCCCUCUGUGGAUCGUCACUGCGGCACACUGUGUUUAUGACCUGUACCACCCCAAGUCCUGGACUGUCCAGGUGGGUCUUGUGUCCCUGAUGGACAGUCCUGUGCCCUCCCAUCUGGUGGAGAAAAUCAUCUAUCACAGCAAGUACAAGCCAAAGCGGCUGGGCAAUGACAUAGCCCUCAUGAAGCUGUCCGAGCCACUCACCUUUGACGAGACCAUCCAGCCCAUCUGUCUGCCCAACUCUGAAGAGAACUUUCCCGAUGGGAAACUGUGCUGGACCUCAGGAUGGGGAGCCACAGAGGAUGGAGGGAGACAGUGGAGGACCCCUGGUGUGCCAGGAGAGGAGACUGUGGAAGUUAGUGGGUGCAACAAGUUUUGGAAUCGGCUGUGCUGAAGUGAACAAGCCUGGAGUCUAUACGCGAAUCACCUCCUUCCUGGACUGGAUUCACGAACAGUUGGAGAGAGAUCUGAAGACUUGAAGAAAAGGGAACCAGCCAGCCCCUGAGCUCCUGAGGGUGGUCACAGCCCGAGCCUUCCCUGGACUCCUGUGUGGCCAUGUUGGAUGCGAGUAUCAGCUUUACUGCUCUGCCCAUUGCACUGAAAGGGAGACAGCGGGAAGAGCAUUCUCCUAACCCCGACACCUGGAGUGGCUUGCUGCUAAAGCCCCUGACCUCUGGACUUUGGGGCUGAAACGACCUUGGAUGCUCUUUCUGUGCUUCAUGAACCAACUCAUGCACACAAGUGGCACCUUUCCCUGCCACCACCCUAGAUUUUCUCCUCAGAGUGCCUGCCAACACAGGCAAGCUCUCAUGCAAAGCCAUCGAACACCAGUUGGGGCAGCUACGAAGCCAGGAACUGCUGAUGUGAAUUGGUGAAGAUGCAGUCACCUGUUUGUUCCCAGAUCUCAGAUCUCCACCCAAUCGUCUCCUUCCCAGAGCUGGUUCCGGGAGUGGGGAACUUGGUCUGUGACUGAUUCACUGUUUUCUCACAGGAUUUGGUGCUUGACGAAUUCCUCCCUUCUGGAAGGUGUCCCUUUGUGUAGCUUGGCUUGUCCUCGGGCUUGAGUGAAUGCGUGGUGGUGGGUGGUGGGCACAGAAAUCAUGGGCUCACGUCAGAAGCCCAUCCUACACACGUCAAGAGUUUGCAUUUUCCUGUUAGAAUAGGUUUCCCAGAUCUCAGAAGUAUCCCAUAUUGCAUUGUGGGAUGCAUAAGCAGAGUGAGGGACACAGGUCUGGGCAGAGACAAGACUGGGCACUAAAAGCAAGCUGAAUCGAGGAGUCCUAAGUGAUGGGUUCUGCCUUACCCCCCGCCCCGUGCACUCUGCUAAUGGGUCAUAGCUGAUGGUGUCCGGGUCCCUCUUACAUGGCUCACAGUCCUGUGGUUCCCAUAUUACCCAAUAACAGAGGAGGGUUAUGUGAGACAUAGCUAUGGGUCACUCAGGCUUGUCACAGACGAAGUCUUCAGAGUAGGAAUCAGUUGUUUUGUGGCUGUAACAAAAAGUGUGUGUGUGUGCAUGUGUGUGUGUGGGGGGAGACAUAUCACCAGGACAAACUACUUUUGUACACACAUAGCCAUUGUACUUUGACUCAACCCUAUCCAGAUUAGAGCCCCCACAUAGCUUUCUGUGAAUAGAAUACAGGUCCCAAGGCCCACGGUGGGUACCUGAAACUGUGGGCAGCUCCGAGCCCUAUAUGGAUGGUUCUUUUCCAUAUGCAUCCCUCCCUACAGAUGUGCUUCAUCUACUAGUCACAGUAAGAGAUGACUAUCCUCACUGAAAAUAAAGCACAGCAGUUAUAAAAACA